Molecule: ribosomal RNA, 345 nt
Filed under: uncultured bacterium
Lineage: Bacteria
Description: partial 16S ribosomal RNA
Rfam family: Bacterial small subunit ribosomal RNA
Source: RNAcentral
CCUACGGGGGGCAGCAGUGAGGAAUAUUGGUCAAUGGGCGCGAGCCUGAACCAGCCAAGUCGCGUGAGGGAAGACGGUCCUAUGGAUUGUAAACCUCUGUUGUCGGGGAGCAAAAGACGCCACGCGUGGCGUUCCGAGAGUACCCGAAGAAAAAGCAUCGGCUAACUCCGUGCCAGCAGCCGCGGUAAUACGGAGGAUGCGAGCGUUAUCCGGAUUUAUUGGGUUGAAAGGGUGCGCAGGCGGAAGAUCAAGGCAGCGGUAAAAUUGAGAGGCUCAACCUCUUCGCGCCGUUGAAACUGGUUUUCUUGAUUGCGCGAGACGUCUGCGGAAUGCGUGGUGUAGCGG